ACGGAAGGCAGCAGUGAGGAAUAUUGGUCAAUGGGCGGAAGCCUGAACCAGCCAUGCCGCGUGAAGGAAUAAGGCCCUAUGGGUCGUAAACUUCUUUUGAGCGGGAGCAAUAAGGCGCACGUGUGCGCCGAUGAGAGUACCGUUCGAAUAAGCAUCGGCUAACUCCGUGCCAGCAGCCGCGGUAAUACGGAGGAUGCAAGCGUUAUCCGGAUUUAUUGGGUUUAAAGGGUGCGUAGGCUGCUUGUCAAGUCAGAGGUGAAAGCCCGGGGCUCAACUCCGGAACUGCCUUUGAUACUGGCAGGCUUGAAUACUGUUGCCGUGGGAGGAAUGAGUAGUGUAGCGGUGAAAUGCAUAGAUAUUACUCAGAACACCGAUUGCGAAGGCAUCUCACGAAGCAGGGAUUGACGCUGAGGCACGAAAGCGUGGGGAUCAAACAGGAUUAGAUACCCUGGUA
This 454-nucleotide ribosomal RNA is filed under the name uncultured bacterium. RNAcentral describes it as "partial 16S ribosomal RNA". It matches the Rfam family "Bacterial small subunit ribosomal RNA", at positions 341 to 792 of the family's 1533-position model. The record is from RNAcentral.